GAGUUUGAUCCUGGCUCAGGACGAACGCUGGCGGCGUGCCUAAUACAUGCAAGUCGAGCGGAUCGAUGGGAGCUUGCUCCCUGAGAUCAGCGGCGGACGGGUGAGUAACACGUGGGUAACCUGCCUGUAAGACUGGGAUAACUCCGGGAAACCGGGGCUAAUACCGGAUAACACCUACCCCCGCAUGGGGGAAGGUUGAAAGGUGGCUUCGGCUAUCACUUACAGAUGGACCCGCGGCGCAUUAGCUAGUUGGUGAGGUAAYGGCUCACCAAGGCGACGAUGCGUAGCCGACCUGAGAGGGUGAUCGGCCACACUGGGACUGAGACACGGCCCAGACUCCUACGGGAGGCAGCAGUAGGGAAUCUUCCGCAAUGGACGAAAGUCUGACGGAGCAACGCCGCGUGAGUGAAGAAGGUUUUCGGAUCGUAAAACUCUGUUGUUAGGGAAGAACAAGUGCCGUUCGAAUAGGGCGGCGCCUUGACGGUACCUAACCAGAAAGCCACGGCUAACUACGUGCCAGCAGCCGCGGUAAUAC
This 535-nucleotide ribosomal RNA is filed under the name Bacillus sp. TSK1. RNAcentral's name for it is "bacterial SSU rRNA". It matches the Rfam family "Bacterial small subunit ribosomal RNA", at positions 9 to 526 of the family's 1533-position model. The record is from RNAcentral. Lineage: Bacteria; Bacillati; Bacillota; Bacilli; Caryophanales; Bacillaceae.